GUUGGCGGCCAUAGGGGCGGGGAAACACCCGGACUCGUCCGAUCCCGGAAGUUAAGCCCGCCUCCGUUCCGGGUUGUACUCUGGUGCGCAAGCCCAGGGGAAGCCCGGAAAGCUGCCAACC
This 121-nucleotide ribosomal RNA is filed under the name Hadesarchaea archaeon. RNAcentral also lists the same sequence under 1 other name. The record is from RNAcentral. Lineage: Archaea; Methanobacteriati; Hadarchaeota (SeqCode); Hadarchaeia (SeqCode).